AAAAAAUUAGUUAAUUAAUAAUAAAAGAUUGUCAAUUUUUUGUAGCUUUGUUUAAAGCAUUUUUUG
RNAcentral lists this transfer RNA (66 nucleotides) under Kulikovia alborostrata. RNAcentral describes it as "tRNA-Asp". Lineage: Eukaryota; Metazoa; Nemertea; Pilidiophora; Heteronemertea; Lineidae. The record is from RNAcentral.